AAAAACACAAAACAAAUAGAAAUGGUUUAGCCGAACUACGGCAACUCUGAUUCUCAUGUCCAGAUGAGAUACGUAGGCACGAGAUGCGAUGUCUUGUCGAGUUUGACUAACAACUAACAACUACGGCAACUCUGAUUCUCAUGUCCAGAUGAGAUACGUAGGCACGAGAUGCGAUGUCUUGUCGAGUUUGACUAACAACUAAC
Molecule: long non-coding RNA, 203 nt
Filed under: Lathyrus oleraceus (garden pea)
Lineage: Eukaryota; Viridiplantae; Streptophyta; Magnoliopsida; Fabales; Fabaceae
Description: Pisum sativum (pea) long non-coding RNA (PSAT_LNC039274)
Source: RNAcentral